Molecule: ribosomal RNA, 376 nt
Filed under: uncultured bacterium
Lineage: Bacteria
Description: bacterial SSU rRNA
Rfam family: Bacterial small subunit ribosomal RNA
Source: RNAcentral
AUACGGAGGGUGCAAGCGUUAAUCGGAAUUACUGGGCGUAAAGCGCACGCAGGCGGUCUGUCAAGUCGGAUGUGAAAUCCCCGGGCUCAACCUGGGAACUGCAUUCGAAACUGGCAGGCUAGAGUCUUGUAGAGGGGGGUAGAAUUCCAGGUGUAGCGGUGAAAUGCGUAGAGAUCUGGAGGAAUACCGGUGGCGAAGGCGGCCCCCUGGACGAAGACUGACGCUCAGGUGCGAAAGCGUGGGGAGCAAACAGGAUUAGAUACCCUGGUAGUCCACGCCGUAAACGAUGUCUAUUUGGAGGUUGUGCCCUUGAGGCGUGGCUUCCGGAGCUAACGCAUUAAGCACUCCGCCUGGGGAGUACGACCGCAAGGUUGAA